UAAAAGGUUAGUUUGUAAUAUAUUAAUAUUAUAUCAAAAUACAUUAAUGAUGAAAACGUAACAGAGUUUGUAACGAUGUAAGCAAGUAAUUCAUGGAAUUAAAGACAUCUCAGUUUUUUUCUCCCCCCUCCAAUCCCUGCACCUGUGUUGGAGAUUCUGCAAGGCUGAUGAAUUGCCCAGAACAUUGCCAAGUUACAGCUCAAUUAUCGUGGGUUUCCUCAGCAGUUAUUUGUUGCCUACCUCUGAGUGUGAACUAACAUCUUUUCAGCUAUCAGGCAAAACCUCUGGAAUGUAAUAGCUUUACUCACCAUUGUUCACCAAACCCCAAGCUAAGAAUAUCAUCAGUAAAACCUAAAAUCUAUAACAGAGUUUCCCCCACUGCACUAUAACCUGCUGCUUACCAGGUGUUCCCACCAAUGCGCUGGGAAAACGCCUUGAUUUAUGGCUUUCUUUUGUUCUGUCAAUACAGAAGUUCACGUAACCGCUUUCACGUUGGUACACGUUGUUCUCAGGUCACGAGCAGUCACCUUUGGCUUUGGAUAAAUUAUAUAUCGUCCCCUUUGCUGUGAGCGCUGUGUUUUGCAUGGACGCUGAAUGAGAACAAACGAGCGCCAGGCGACCGCUUUUGGAGUAUGGUGGAGAUGUAAGCCCCCUCCAAGGAGAGACACACACCAGUAAGCUUCUACCUGUAGGAUUUGGAAUGCUAAUCUGAGAAUUCCAUGUGUGUUCUGAUGUGUCAUAGAUCCUCUAAGCUAAUAGGAUUUCAGUCGCACUUAUGACAGAUCUUCAAAACAGAAGACAGAGCUAUCAAAAGCAAAUCUAAAAAGACACUUGGGUGGAUGCUGAGUGGCUGCUGGGUACAGAUUCCCCACCUGCCUCUGGGACCACAUGGUUCAUGGGAAUUUUCUUCCUGGCCUUCUGAUUGGCUCAGAUGUGGGGGCCUGACUCCAGCUAAACCCACCGGUGUCUUUUCUGAAGAGUGUGUGAACAAUGACUAUCGAGGGGCCAGGUUUUUCUUUGGGGACAGAGUAAGAAGCAUUUGGGGUUGUGGGGGCCAUUUUUCUGCUUGCCUCCAGGAUGUAGACAAAAGCAAGUAGCUACUGAGUCCCUGGCUGCAGCUGCCUUUGAGACUGGUAGAACCAGCACCCUCUCUGAAUUCUGAAUCUUCAGUUCUUCCCAUGGUUUUACAGAAGCCUUUUGUUCUUCUUUCAUUGUUGUUUUGUUUUUUAUUUGUUGUUUUGUUUCGUCUGAACUAGUUAGAAUUUGAUUUCGGGCACAUGGACCAAGGACACAGUUAAGAAAAUCCAAGAAGAAAGCACAACCCUGGUUUUGAAAUACACGAAAUUACCAGCACUUCCUGACUCCACAGGUCAUAAUUGUCUGUGUGUGUCUGGCUUGGGGAGGACCUAGAGAAGAACACCAAAGAGACAAGUGGAGAUGACUGGCUAAGCUCUUCGGAUCAUCCUGUCUGUUGAGGAGGCGGAACUCAUCUUGGCUGGGGGAAGAAACAGACAAUACCAGGAUUGUUCAAGCUAAGGUUAUGACCAUAAAAAUUACAUUGCUUCUCUCGCUUACGAAUGUGAUGUACGGGAUAACACAUUUACAGGGUUGUGAAGGAUUUGUGUGCUUUUUUUCUAACUCAAUGAGCUAGAAAGCAAUCCUAGCACUAAUUGGGCAACUGAAGGUAUUUAUACUUUGCUAAAACCUCAGCAAAUUGAUAGAAAUAGUCUACAAAAGAAAUUAUUCUACA
This is a long non-coding RNA of Peromyscus leucopus (white-footed mouse), 1750 nucleotides long. RefSeq lists it as uncharacterized. The transcript is spliced from 3 exons. The record is from RefSeq and is a predicted model, not a curated record. Lineage: Eukaryota; Metazoa; Chordata; Mammalia; Rodentia; Cricetidae.